AGAGAGAGAAGAUACAACAACAGUGAAGGACUCGGACACAGAGGCUAUAUCACUAAUAAGGUGUAUCCAAAGAAUCCACUUAAUGGGAGGCUCGCCAGUCCAACUCCACAAU
Danio rerio (zebrafish) is the source of this 112-nucleotide non-coding RNA. NCBI's taxonomy places the organism in Eukaryota, Metazoa, Chordata, Actinopteri, Cypriniformes, Danionidae. The record is from RefSeq and is a predicted model, not a curated record.